GACCCAGUGGUCCAAUGGUAAAGCGUUCGCCGCGGAGCCAAAGAGUUCUGGGUUCAAUCCCUAAUUGGGUCG
RNAcentral lists this transfer RNA (72 nucleotides) under Schistosoma japonicum. RNAcentral describes it as "tRNA-OTHER". Lineage: Eukaryota; Metazoa; Platyhelminthes; Trematoda; Strigeidida; Schistosomatidae. The record is from RNAcentral.